AGUGAACGCUGGCGGUAGGCCUAACACAUGCAAGUCGAACGGCAGCACAGUAAGAGCUUGCUCUUACCGGUGGCGAGUGGCGGACGGGUGAGGAAUACAUCGGAAUCUACUUUUUCGUGGGGGAUAACAUAGGGAAACUUACGCUAAUACCGCAUACGACCUACGGGUGAAAGCAGGGGAUCUUCGGACCUUGCGCGAUUGAAUGAGCCGAUGUCGGAUUAGCUAGUUGGCGGGGUAAAGGCCCACCAAGGCGACGAUCCGUAGCUGGUCUGAGAGGAUGAUCAGCCACACUGGAACUGAGACACGGUCCAGACUCCUACGGGAGGCAGCAGUGGGGAAUAUUGGACAAUGGGCGCAAGCCUGAUCCAGCCAUACCGCGUGGGUGAAGAAGGCCUUCGGGUUGUAAAGCCCUUUUGUUGGGAAAGAAAAGCAGCAGGUUAAUACCCCGCUGUUCUGACGGUACCCAAAGAAUAAGCACCGGCUAACUUCGUG
This 492-nucleotide ribosomal RNA is filed under the name uncultured bacterium. RNAcentral describes it as "partial 16S ribosomal RNA". It matches the Rfam family "Bacterial small subunit ribosomal RNA", at positions 29 to 507 of the family's 1533-position model. The record is from RNAcentral.